GUGGAAAAUGCAAAUGUAAAUUCAACCGCAAAGCCAGCCGACGGCCAAGCGAAGCCCCCCACCUCAUCACACCUGGAAGUGCCAGUAACUGUUGAGCUGGGCUGUUGCUCUCUACCUGGGACAUUCCCGCGCCCCACCCUUCACAAACCUGCCCCCUUCCUGGGAUGUCUGCCCUCCCUCCCCAGCUGCCCCCCUGACUGGAGGGGACUGAAUGUUCUACACCUUGGAAUAAAGUUUCCUGACCCUGAAACUCUGAGUGGAUCCCAGGGCCUUUCCCCUCUAAGGGAACCAGCUCCCACCAAGCCCCAGCAUGGGGAUGGGCUGGCUGGGGGUCAGGGAAGGGGACACCGGGGCCUCUCCUCUCUAGCGGGCGCUAACUACAGUGUAAGGACGACAACCACCAGCAGCCCCCUGGAAAGCUCCUGGUUCUGCCACACUGGGCACCCCUCCUGGUAUCCGAUGAAAGUGCAUCGAGUUGGCCCAACUCUUGCUGAAGCCCCACGUGGGCUGGCUACAAGCAGAGGCCGGCUGCCCUCCAGCCCCUGCUCCCCUGGCCAAGAAAGGCCCCUGAGACCUCUGGAGUGGGGGUGGAGCAUGGGCAGGGCCCCCAGCUUCCUGCCUCCACCCAGCUGUUCCCUGUCUAAUUCUCAGCUCAAGUUAUGUCCUCAUCUGCCCCUCACGCUGGCAUUCCCCUCAGCAAAGCAGCCACCCUGCUGCCCUUCAUGUAGCCUUCAGUCCAGGGUGCAGGUGAGCAGGACUUUAGAGAAGUUUUUGUGGAGCCAUGGAGCGCUCCUCACUACCCCCAGCAUCUCUCUCUUGAGCUUAAUUGCAUGGAGCCUCUGCUUGCCUUAGUUUUCUUCUCUACAGUGCGUGCUACCUUGGGGUUGGGAAAGGCCUAUGCUGCCUGGUUCCAGGUGCAGCAUUGACAUCUGUGCCUGUAGUUGGGGAUGGGAGUGUGAUGUCCCUCUCCCCCAGGGAGGGUGCAGGCUGGCCAGGAUCGUGUGACUAGCUGUCCUGCUUUUAGCGGGAUAGACCUGAUAUUCAGGGCUUGUCUUGCAGCUGGGCCUAUUAACCCCCUCCCAGUUUUUCACACUUGCCAUCUGAGCCCCCCUCAGGGAAGUUCCAAAGGGCUAGCCAUGUUGGUCUAUUGCAGAAAAACAGAGUCCUGUGGCACUUCUGAAGACUAACAGAUUUAUUUAUUGCAAAGUGUCUGAUGAAGUGGGAUUUUCUUCCACGAAAGCCCAUGCGAUAAAUAAAUCUCUUAGUCUUCAAAAGUGCCACAGGAUGCAGUUUGUUUUUCCCCUAGGAGCAGGCAGGAUCCCUGCCACCUCUCAGCACGUGCAGCAGCAUGGAGCAUGACCCAGGUGACUCUGUGAGGGACACCCCCUUCCUUGCAGUGGGGAGGCUUUGACCACACUCCUCUCAGCACAUCCUAUCGGUUUGUUUAGGUUCCUCCCCCUCAGCUGGCGGUGCCUCCUGCGGUGGCUGCUGUGCGUGCCCCUGGGGGGUGGGUGCCCAAUGUGGAGUGCUGGGAAAGUGCCAGAAAGGGCACUGCUCGUGGAAUAACCUCAGUCCCUUCACCCCAGUACUCCUGGUGCCCAGCCCUACCCCCUGCUCUCCUCCCAGAGCUAGGGCUUGAAUCCAGGAGUCCUGGCUCACUCCCACUUUUCUGGUCUUUGCUCUGACCUCCCCUGGUAGCAUCCUGCCCCCUGGCAAAAAUAUGAUCUGUUAGUUGCAGAGCCCUGGCUGAAACAGUGGGGCAGGGGGCAGUAGUUGGUUCCAGAGAGGGGAGGGGUGCUGGGGCAGAGGCAGGCCAUGCUGAAUUUUCAUCAGCUGCCUCCUGCUUCUGCCCCCCCUCCCCCUCCAACACAGGCACUAGAUAUACAGACACCCUCGGGCUCCCUGCUGCCUCCAGGGAUGAGAGGUUAGGGGGGAGCUUUGAGCUGAAUGUGCUGCUUGUUGCCCGGCAAGGGUUAAAAAUUCAUCAGCCAGAAGGGGUCCGUUGGACUGUCACGCCCUGUGUUAUCCGCCCCACCUAGCCCAGUGCCCCGUAGCCAUCCUUCCCCCUGGAUCAGACCCUAUGGCUAUGUCUACACUUGAAAAGUUAAGUAGACUUAAAGUGUACCGUAUUAAGUCAACUUAACAGAAGUGGACUUAACUUUUCAAGUGUUGAUGUGGCCCCGUUUCAACCUUAUUAAGUCAGCUUAACGUUUUAAGUCGACUUAAAAAGGUCCACGUAGGCACUACUCUGCGUCUCCAUUGGCUUAAAUUGACUUAAUAAAGUCGACUUAAGCACUAGUUCGAAUU
This 2307-nucleotide long non-coding RNA is filed under the name Pelusios castaneus (West African mud turtle). Its description in RNAcentral is "lncRNA (ENSPCEG00000008743.1)". Lineage: Eukaryota; Metazoa; Chordata; Testudines; Pelomedusidae. The record is from RNAcentral.